Molecule: non-coding RNA, 189 nt
Filed under: Pan troglodytes (chimpanzee)
Lineage: Eukaryota; Metazoa; Chordata; Mammalia; Primates; Hominidae
Description: Eukaryotic large subunit ribosomal RNA
Rfam family: Eukaryotic large subunit ribosomal RNA
Source: Rfam by way of RNAcentral
UCUGAAAAAAUUGCACUCGCGAAGGCCCGCGGCGGGUGUUGACGCGAUGUGAUUCUGCCAGUGCUCUGAAUGUCAAAGUGAAGAAAUUCAAUGAAGGCGGUGUAAAUGCGCGGGAGUAACUAUGACUCUCUUAAGGUAGCCAAAUGCCUCGUAUCUAAUUACGUGAUGCGCAUGAAUGGAUGAACGAGA